GAUGAAGAACGCAGCGAAAUGCGAUACGUAAUGUGAAUUGCAAAUUCAGUGAAUCAUCGAGUCUUUGAACGCACAUUGCGCCCCCUGGUAUUCCGGGGGGCAUGCCUGUCCGAGCGUCAUUGCUGCCCUCAAGCACGGCUUGUGUGUUGGGCCCCGUCCUCCGAUCCCGGGGGACGGGCCAGAAAGGCAGCGGCGGCACCGCGUCCGGUCCUCGAGCGUAUGGGGCUUUGUCACCCGCUCUGUAGGCCCGGCCUGCGCUUGCCGAUCAACCCAAAUUUUUUAUCCAGGUUGACCUCGGAUCAGGUAGGGAUACCCGCUGAACUUAAGCAUAUCAAUAAGCGGAGGA
RNAcentral lists this unclassified non-coding RNA (346 nucleotides) under soil metagenome. RNAcentral describes it as "partial contains 5.8S ribosomal RNA, internal transcribed spacer 2, and large subunit ribosomal RNA". The stretch from base 1 to 119 matches the Rfam family "5.8S ribosomal RNA", at positions 35 to 154 of the family's 154-position model. The record is from RNAcentral.